GUCAAGCUAGCUUGUAUGUAGGCUGCAUAGAACUAAAGCUUCUGGCAUUAGGCUAAGAGUAUGAUGUCUUCAGUUAUUUCAAAAUGUGUCAGAUCUAAAGAGAGUCCAGGUGACAAAGCAUAAGUCUGUCAUUUGGGCCAAAUAAGAGGUAGAUUUUACUUGUAUAAUAUUGAUUGGUUGUCAGUAAAUAGUUCUUGGUAAACUCAAGUCCUUCAGUAAAUUUGGCUUUGAACAUUUAGUCUUCUAUACAUUGAAGGAAUUCUACUCUUGGGCAGCUGAAGCAGUAUACCAAAGCCAGACAUCCAGUUUGCAGACCAAUUAUGAUGAAGAACAAAACAAGCUGUUUGCCACUCAAAACUUCCCAGACUUCACCACUUCUGUUGUUUAUGCAUGGAAUUAUCGGGGACAUUGAGUAGGCGUGCUUAAGGGAAGUAACACAAGCUUGUUUCCUGGCUUUAUCUGAGAAAAUGUUGGCAACUUUAUAUAUUUUCUUGUUUCCUUAUCUUAUUCUAAAUGUGUUGUUGAAUAAAGAGUUACCCCAUGC
RNAcentral lists this long non-coding RNA (544 nucleotides) under Bos taurus (domestic cattle). RNAcentral's name for it is "long non-coding RNA NONBTAT017509". The record is from RNAcentral. Lineage: Eukaryota; Metazoa; Chordata; Mammalia; Artiodactyla; Bovidae.